Molecule: transfer RNA, 73 nt
Organism: Camelus ferus (Wild Bactrian camel)
Lineage: Eukaryota; Metazoa; Chordata; Mammalia; Artiodactyla; Camelidae
Rfam family: tRNA
About the family: Transfer RNA (tRNA) molecules are approximately 80 nucleotides in length. Their secondary structure includes four short double-helical elements and three loops (D, anti-codon, and T loops).
Source: Rfam
GAGGGUAUAGCUCAAGUGGUAGAGUGUGUGCCUAGCACUCAGGAGGUCCUGGGUUCAAUCCCCAGCACCUCCU